Molecule: long non-coding RNA, 500 nt
Organism: Homo sapiens (human)
Lineage: Eukaryota; Metazoa; Chordata; Mammalia; Primates; Hominidae
Gene: ROR1-AS1
Product: ROR1 antisense RNA 1
Source: Ensembl
AAAGUGGUGUGAUCUCGGCUCACUGCAACCUCUGCCUCCCAGGUUCAAGUGAUUAUCCUGGCUUAGCCUCCCUAGUAGCUGGGAUUACAGAUGAGGAAACCGAAGCUCUUGGGGUAACACGACUUGUGAAACUGCAUGCUACUCCUCAGUGGCAGGGUGGGGACUCUGGACAGAGGAACUGGCAAGGUCUUCUAGACCUUUGACGUGCAUAAACUGGCAGGUUUACAGAAUAACGAGGAAAACAAAGUGAAACAAAAGACUGUACCCGUGUGCUAAGAAUUUAUUACCCGCACAUCAAAAAACUUAUCCAUCACGAUCAAGCUGGCUUCAUCCCUGGGAUGCAAAGCUGGCUCAGCAUAUGCAAAUCAAUAAACAUAAUCCGUCACAUAAACAGAACCAAAGACAAAAACCACAUGGUUAUCUCAGUAGAUGCAGAAAAGGCCUUUGAUAAAAUUCAACAUCCCUUCAUGUUAAAAACUCAAUAAACUAGAUAUUGAUGG